GAUGAACGCUGGCGGCGUGCUUAACACAUGCAAGUCGAACGAAGCACUUUAAUCGAUUUCUUCGGAUUGAAAUUUUAGUGACUGAGUGGCGGACGGGUGAGUAACGCGUGGGUAACCUGCCUCACACAGGGGGAUAACAGUUGGAAACGGCUGCUAAUACCGCAUAAGCGCACAGUACCGCAUGGUACGGUGUGAAAAACUCCGGUGGUGUGAGAUGGACCCGCGUCUGAUUAGCUAGUUGGCAGGGCAGCGGCCUACCAAGGCGACGAUCAGUAGCCGAGCUGAGAGGGGGACCGGCAACAUGGGGACUGAGACACGGGCCAAACUCCUACGGGAGGCAGCAGUGGGGAAUAUCGCAAAAUGGGGGAAACCCUGAUGCAGCGACGCCGCGUGAGCGAAGAAGUAUUUCGGUAUGUAAAGCUCUAUCAGCAGGGAAGAAGAAAUGACGGUACCUGACUAAGAAGCACCGGCUAAAUACGUGCCAGCCGCCGCCGUAA
This 497-nucleotide ribosomal RNA is filed under the name uncultured bacterium. RNAcentral describes it as "partial 16S ribosomal RNA". It matches the Rfam family "Bacterial small subunit ribosomal RNA", at positions 28 to 523 of the family's 1533-position model. The record is from RNAcentral.